This 709-nucleotide long non-coding RNA is filed under the name Sorghum bicolor (sorghum). RNAcentral describes it as "long non-coding RNA (SBIC_LNC015248)". Lineage: Eukaryota; Viridiplantae; Streptophyta; Magnoliopsida; Poales; Poaceae. The record is from RNAcentral.
CCUAUACACAGCCAUUGUGGAUCGUGAACUAAUAAUUAUAGAGUCAUAUUAUGAUAUUUUUGUAGCUGAGAUCGACAUUACGUACCUUUGAAUAAUGUUUACCAUUUGUUGAUAAUUUUCUUGUGGUUUUCUCAUUGAGUCAAAGAUUAUCAACCGGUUCUUGGGAAUUUCAAUAACCAUGAGUAUCCAGUGAAAGCUGUUUACACACAUAUAUAUAUAUAGUCAGUCCUAUAAUAUAAAAUAAAAUAUGCAUGCACUUAAUAACUAUAUAACUCACUCGAAGUUGAAGGAGAAGAGUAUUUUUUGUUUUUCUUUUUGGUUCACAAAGAACCUCAUAAGAUUGGUGCAGACUUCUGUCUCAUGAUCUGCUGUUCACAUUGCCUGCGGAGCCUUGAAAACAAUAUAAGGGUCAACGAACCCAAUACUAUUGUCAUUUCUCAUUCUGAGCUCUCUCAUUUGGUGCCUGCAUAUAUACAUACAAAUCCUAAGUGUGUAAGGAUUAUAUACAUGUAACUAAAGAAGUUAGAAGUAUAAUAAAAAGAAAAAAAAUACUUACAGACAAAAGCAGCUGACAAUUGAUUUGUCAAGAGCGUCGAGGUGACAUAAUUGGUGCAAUUCUUCGAACUGCACAUAUAUGAGGUCAUCUCCACGGAAGUAGUGAUGUUGUCUAAUACGAACAGAAAUCCAAUUCUCUCCCUUUUUAGACGCC